Molecule: non-coding RNA, 45 nt
Organism: Schistosoma mansoni
Lineage: Eukaryota; Metazoa; Platyhelminthes; Trematoda; Strigeidida; Schistosomatidae
Source: Rfam
GUCCAGCUGACGGGUCCCAAAUAGGACGAAACGCGUGUCAUGGAU